This is a long non-coding RNA of Vollenhovia emeryi, 538 nucleotides long. RefSeq lists it as uncharacterized. Lineage: Eukaryota; Metazoa; Arthropoda; Insecta; Hymenoptera; Formicidae. The transcript is spliced from 3 exons. The record is from RefSeq and is a predicted model, not a curated record.
AUGGAUGCUGGUUCCAUUUUAAUCAAGCACUUUUGCGUCAAUGGCGGCGAUUAGGAUUAAUAGACGCACCAAGAAGUGUUUUAUCUAUGACUAUGACUAUGGCAUUGAUUCCUUCUGAUUGCUUUGAGAAAGCACUUUCCAUUAUACAACUUGAAAUUAAUCAAACUUCUUCUAAAUAUCCUGCUCUUAAUGAUUUUCUGGCUUAUGUACGUAAGACUUGGUUACCAAUGGCAUCAAAAGUUAGUGUUUAUGAUUGUCCUGCAAGACAAAUAAUAUAACAGAGAGUUUUCAUAAUAUAGUAGGAAAAAAAUUCGACAAAGCUCAUGGAAACGUUUGGAAUUUCUUAGAUAAUCUACGCAAAUUGAUAAUUGAUGAAGAGCUGAAACUAAAACGUCUACAAACAUCUGAAGUAGGUGGGCAUCAUGCAAGUGUUAAAAAUAAAAGGCGAGACAAUAAAAUACUAGAAACUCAAAAAAAUUUUGCGAUUGGCAGGUUAGUUAAUAAGGUAAUUAUUUAGAUUAGCACACCCACCUCCAAU